This 253-nucleotide ribosomal RNA is filed under the name uncultured prokaryote. Its description in RNAcentral is "partial 16S ribosomal RNA". It matches the Rfam family "Bacterial small subunit ribosomal RNA", at positions 524 to 776 of the family's 1533-position model. The record is from RNAcentral.
GACAGAGGAGGCAAGCGUUGUUCGGAAUCACUGGGCUUAAAGCGCGUGUAGGCGGCUUGGUAAGUGUCGUGUGAAAUCCCAUGGCUCAACCAUGGAACUGCACGGCAAACUACCUAGCUUGAGGUCGGUAGAGGUGCCUGGAACUCUAGGUGGAGCGGUGAGAUGCGUAGAUAUCUAGAGGAACGCCAGAAGCGAAAGCGGGGCACUGGGCCGAUUCUGACGCUGAGACGCGAAAGCGUGGGGAGCAAACAGG